RNAcentral lists this long non-coding RNA (406 nucleotides) under Oryza brachyantha (malo sina). RNAcentral describes it as "long non-coding RNA (OBRA_LNC002441)". The record is from RNAcentral. Lineage: Eukaryota; Viridiplantae; Streptophyta; Magnoliopsida; Poales; Poaceae.
UGAUAAGAGCCACAUGCAUUCUAUGCACAAUGGGAAAAGCAGUUGAAUUGGGCAAAGCAAUCCCCACACUGUCCAAGAAAAGCAAUUUUGUUGGCUUGGGAAGCAUCAGGAAAGUGUGGGCAAUGCAGUAUUGAGCAGGAUGAAAUUAAGUCACAAAAGUCCCCGGUGUGAUCGAUCGAUGACGGGAAUGCGGGGCAUGGAACACUAGUUUUAAAAUGAUUGGCAUGAAGGGGCUAUAUCUCUUCAAAAAGUAUACUUUGAAGGACAGAAUAUGUUUGUUGGAUUUCUGGUAGUCCAUAACAAUAGUAGAUAUCGUCAAGAUAUGAUAUGCAAAAAAUAUAUGAUUAACAUUAUAUAUAUAUGCAAAAAAAUAUGCAAGGAAAUUAGAUCCUACUAUCAGGUGUAG